This is a long non-coding RNA of Magallana angulata, 1646 nucleotides long. RefSeq lists it as uncharacterized. The transcript has 6 exons. The record is from RefSeq and is a predicted model, not a curated record. NCBI's taxonomy places the organism in Eukaryota, Metazoa, Mollusca, Bivalvia, Ostreida, Ostreidae.
AUAUGAUCCCUGAUUUAUUCAUUUCCUUGCAAAUACAACAUUCGAUACAAAUGACAUUGUCGUUGUAUAUAGUGACAUUGGCAUGAUAAUUUCGUGCUUUUGUCUCUGUUUAUUUUUCCAUUGUAAAUGGUGAUACUGAUGACAGUGGUUCCGGUGGUUCAAUCCAAUACACUCUUUUAUUAUACAAUGUACUUCUUUACUUAUUUCCUAUUCUGAAAACAGUACACGUAUACAUGUACAGUGUACAUACAUGUACAUAUACCGGAUAAUUAUGCUAGUGCCAAAGUGGCAUUUUUGCUCCCGCUUAAAGGUUUUACGCAAGGAAAUAAACAAUCAAAAUGAACUUAAGUCCAGGGCAAAUCUUCUCUGCAUAGAGUUCCUCGUGGCUUUGGUUCUUCCCUGAAACAUGUGACUGCUGAAUAGAGCCUUGGCUGUCUGUUUUCUUUGAGAGUCAAAGAAGUGGCGCAGGUCUUUGAGGUUUUCAAUGACAUGUCCUUGGUUUUCAGAUGCACCGGAAGUAGCGAUACUAUCUCCAGUAUGACAAUGUGGACGGUCAUCACUUUGCAGUUCACCGAUGCAUUCCGCAGCCCAUUUCUUUUCAUCUCAAGUGGCGCUCUCUGGAGGAAUAGUUGCAGUGCAGUCUUCAUAUUCUGGGCAGGUGACUUCCCUUCCCUUGGUUCUAAGAUGGGCGCCUUUCUUGCAUAGUUUAUAGCCACAAGACACUGCCACAGCACUCUUCUUCUUGGUAACAUUUUCAUUUAAAGUGUAUGUCACUUGUGUGGCAGCUUGGAAUGAGGAUUUACCAAUGGCACUGAAGGUGGCAUUGCUAUACCGGGCAUCUCUUUCUGCUCUUAUAGGUAAAUUGGUCUGAAUGUUGGUGGCUGUUGCUCGUUCGAUGUUUGCGCCAAGGAGCAUACCAUGCAUGCCCUCUGUUAUAAGGCUGGUACCCAAGUGGCCGACAGCCAUGGCCACAUUAAGCUGCGCGGCUCUUCGUUCUCUUUCAGAUCGACUUCAUCGUACAGCUUUUCACAGUGACUGGUGUAGUGGUACUUCUUACAUCGAAUGGGAAUGACCUUGCUUUUCCUUCCCAUGCUGGUUCCAGUCCAGUGAACCGUCACAGUCCGAAAAUUUCUACCUGCCAUGUGUUCUAGUAAGAGAAACUCCAUCUUUGAUGACUGAUGGAAAAGCCUCAUCAACCCCCAUUGCUAAGUAAAGAACCUCUUUACUGAAUCGCUAGCCAUUAAUCAGUGACCAUGGCCACCGUUACCAAAGCACCGAGCGUGACGUCACAAUCUUUGCUACGUCAUAAUACCUUAUCAGCUGUGUAAUUGAAAGGCGUUGUUUGCAUCCAAGGAGAAUUGCAUUGAAGAAAACCCGCUGUGUAUCGUAUAUUCCAUCACUGGAAUACUGUAUUCGUAGAUCAACAAGUUCAGUAUUUUACCAAAAAAAGCCCUGCAGAUUGUAUAUCAAUAUGAUUGGAUUUACCAUUUUUGUUAUGGUGGUUUUCGAGACCUAUAAAUGGUGGAAGAAGGAUGAUGAAGUAGAUAUCGACAAUGAGAUAUCUCGGGAAAUCGAUGAGAUGCUGGAGAACAUUCAAAAUUCUUUGUAAAAAAUGAAGAAAAAUAAAAUAUAUUUAUGACAUAUAU